AUGAAGAAAGCGCAAGAGAAGCUUGGGGCAUUGUUGGGACGAAACUCUGGCUUGUCUAAAGAUUUCAACAAUUGUGUUGACUUUACCUUGACACCAGAGGAGUUUGAGGCAGGUUGGUGUGAGCUGAUGAUGAAGUAUGAGGCUAUGACUGACUCCCACUUCAAGAAUCUAUACAAGUACCAAGAAACAUGGGUGCCGUGUUACUUCAAGCAUCAAUUCUUCCCUUUCUUGCAGUCAACUCAACGCAGUGAGGGGUUCAACGCUGUCCUUAAGCGUUAUGUGAACCCACACAAGUCCAUCUUGAACUUCAUGAAGCAAUAUCAGAAAAUCCAAACACACAUACUAAUUCGAGAGGGUGCGAAGGAUUACAGGACAUGA
This 378-nucleotide ribosomal RNA is filed under the name Triticum aestivum (bread wheat). RNAcentral describes it as "partial small subunit ribosomal RNA". Lineage: Eukaryota; Viridiplantae; Streptophyta; Magnoliopsida; Poales; Poaceae. The record is from RNAcentral.